UGGGCCACGGUUUAAAACCGUCGCCUAUAGUGUUCACUAUAGGCGACGGUUUUAAAUCGUGGCCUAUAAUAUAAGCUACAGUUUAAAACCGUGGCCUAUACUAUAGGCCACAGUUUAAAACUGACGCCUAUAGUGUUUUAGGCACAGUUUUAAACCGUGGCCUAUAGUAUAGGC
Small nucleolar RNA from Cannabis sativa, 174 nucleotides. NCBI's taxonomy places the organism in Eukaryota, Viridiplantae, Streptophyta, Magnoliopsida, Rosales, Cannabaceae. The record is from RefSeq and is a predicted model, not a curated record.